GGGCGUGUAGCGCAGGGGUAGCGCGCUUCCCUUGCAUAGUUCGUGUUAGGAAGAGGUCACCGGUUCGAAUCCGGUCUCGUCCA
Molecule: non-coding RNA, 83 nt
Organism: Lachancea thermotolerans CBS 6340
Lineage: Eukaryota; Fungi; Ascomycota; Saccharomycetes; Saccharomycetales; Saccharomycetaceae
Source: Rfam